ACUCAAAGGAAUUGACGGGGCCCCGCACAAGCGGCGGAGCAUGCGGAUUAAUUCGAUGCAACGCGUAGAACCUUACCUGGGUUUGACAUGGAUCGGGAGUGCUCAGAGAUGGGUGUGCCUCUUUUGGGGUCGGUUCACAGGUGGUGCAUGGCUGUCGUCAGCUCGUGUCGUGAGAUGUUGGGUUAAGUCCCGCAACGAGCGCAACCCUUGUUCACUGUUGCCAGCACGUUAUGGUGGGGACUCAGUGGAGACCGCCGGGGUCAACUCGGAGGAAGGUGGGGAUGACGUCAAGUCAUCAUGCCCCUUAUGUCCAGGGCUUCACGCAUGCUACAAUGGCUGGUACAGAGAGUGGCGAGCCUGUGAGGGUGAGCGAAUCUCGGAAAGCCGGUCUCAGUUCGGAUUGGGGUCUGCAACUCGACCUCAUGAAGUCGGAGUCGCUAGUAAUCGCAGAUCAGCAACGCUGCGGUGAAUACGUUCCCGGGGCUUGUACACACCGCCCGU
This 501-nucleotide ribosomal RNA is filed under the name uncultured bacterium. Its description in RNAcentral is "partial 16S ribosomal RNA". It matches the Rfam family "Bacterial small subunit ribosomal RNA", at positions 899 to 1397 of the family's 1533-position model. The record is from RNAcentral.